GGGCAAUGGCCGGCAGCCUACCAUGCAAGUCGAACGGUAACAGGAAGCAGCUUGCUGCUUUGCUGACGAGUGGCGGACGGGUGAGUAAUGUCUGGGAAACUGCCUGAUGGAGGGGGAUAACUACUGGAAACGGUAGCUAAUACCGCAUAACGUCGCAAGACCAAAGAGGGGGACCUUCGGGCCUCUUGCCAUCGGAUGUGCCCAGAUGGGAUUAGCUAGUAGGUGGGGUAACGGCUCACCUAGGCGACGAUCCCUAGCUGGUCUGAGAGGAUGACCAGCCACACUGGAACUGAGACACGGUCCAGACUCCUACGGGAGGCAGCAGUGGGGAAUAUUGCACAAUGGGCGCAAGCCUGAUGCAGCCAUGCCGCGUGUAUGAAGAAGGCCUUCGGGUUGUAAAGUACUUUCAGCGGGGAGGAAGGGAGUAAAGUUAAUACCUUUGCUCAUUGACGUUACCCGCAGAAGAAGCACCGGCUAACUCUGUGCCAGCAGCCG
Molecule: ribosomal RNA, 495 nt
Filed under: Escherichia coli
Lineage: Bacteria; Pseudomonadati; Pseudomonadota; Gammaproteobacteria; Enterobacterales; Enterobacteriaceae
Description: bacterial SSU rRNA
Rfam family: Bacterial small subunit ribosomal RNA
Source: RNAcentral